Molecule: ribosomal RNA, 455 nt
Filed under: Microbacterium sp. R-45762
Lineage: Bacteria; Bacillati; Actinomycetota; Actinomycetes; Micrococcales; Microbacteriaceae
Description: bacterial SSU rRNA
Rfam family: Bacterial small subunit ribosomal RNA
Source: RNAcentral
AGUUUGAUCCUGGCUCAGGAUGAACGCUGGCGGCGUGCUUAACACAUGCAAGUCGAACGGUGAACACGGAGCUUGCUCUGUGGGAUCAGUGGCGAACGGGUGAGUAACACGUGAGCAACCUGCCCCUGACUCUGGGAUAAGCGCUGGAAACGGCGUCUAAUACUGGAUAUGUGACGUGACCGCAUGGUCUGCGUCUGGAAAGAAUUUCGGUUGGGGAUGGGCUCGCGGCCUAUCAGCUUGUUGGUGAGGUAAUGGCUCACCAAGGCGUCGACGGGUAGCCGGCCUGAGAGGGUGACCGGCCACACUGGGACUGAGACACGGCCCAGACUCCUACGGGAGGCAGCAGUGGGGAAUAUUGCACAAUGGGCGCAAGCCUGAUGCAGCAACGCCGCGUGAGGGACGACGGCCUUCGGGUUGUAAACCUCUUUUAGCAGGGAAGAAGCGAAAGUGACGGU